ACCUGUCAGGAUCAAACUGCAUCACGGAAGCUGCACACGAUGACACCCUGUCUGGAAAGUUUUUGCCAGAGGGCAAAAGACUGCAAGCAGAAUAUCCCUUUGCCAUUUCUCAUUCAGGCCUGGUGGUUGUCUGAAAGCAAACCUCAAGGAAAGGACUUCUUGGACUCCGCAGCUGCUGCAGGCUGCUGCUCCACCACAGGAAGUCCAGCAGGUGGCGCUGCACCCCGCGCGGACCCGGCUUGCCUGUCUUGGCCCCAGAGAGGUCAGUUGAUGCGCAGUCGGGAAGUAGGUCUGCGCGCACCCCGCUGCAGCUGUGGCAAACGCAAACGAUGACACACAGGCUUGACGAGGGCCUUUGUCAGAAGCAAUGGGGAUCUGGCGUCAGCGCACAAUGGGAAACAAAGUGCUUCUGCCUGGCUGGCCAGAAUGCACGUUUGCUCACUAUUGAUGCCGGGGCAUUUACAGGCAGAAUGAGUUCAUGUGAAAUUUCAGGAUCUGUCAUGACUCAGAUUCAAUUUCUGUAAACCAGAGUCAACAUUACAUUUCCCUUUACUCUGGGCCAUUCCUUGAAUUUUUAGGUCACCAGUUGUUUUUGUACUAACUGAAGGGAUUUGAGUAUUUCACAAGCACCUUAUUUUUAUUAUUAUUUUUAGGGCAUUACCAAUUUGGGACGGAUCUGUAGUGUGAGAGAUUGUUGUCACUCUUAGCUCCAAACAUAGGUUGGCUUUAUAUAUUAUUUACAUGUUCAGAAUUAUACUGUUUAGAAAUUCAAGUGAAACUUGCAAAAUACUUUUCUGGCAGGAAGCUCUGAAGAGGAUCGUUCAUGGAAACAAGGAUGACGACUUGGGUAAGAAAUGCAGGUGACUCGUGAGUGGGUAGGGAGUGGAAGAGAAGACGGCUGGGAGGUUUUACCGUUCAGAAAAAAAUGGAGACAACUAGAGUUGAUCUGAAGAUUAUGGCAGAAUUCAAUAUUGGGGGAAAGAAACAAGAUGGGGGUUAGAAAUUAGAAACAGCAGAGCUCCACAGGUUGGAAAGGUUGGAAAGGAUUUGAGCAAGAGAACAAGAAGGAGCCUGCUAAUAGCACCCUGGGUUUACAUCAAGAGAAGCACCUGGAGAGAAUUAACUCGGGAGGAGGCGGGGGCAUGGGAAACCUUUUCAUCUCCAAGAGCGAGCAGGAACAGCAGCUGGCCUGAACUUGAAGGUACACCAGGUAGCUUGCCUGGGCCAGGAGAAGGUGAUUCUCUUCUAUGUCUCUCUCCAAAUCCCUGCUUCUGAUGCUGCUCCUCUACCCGUAUUGAGGGGAAGAUACAUCCCUAGGAAGUUCACUGCACCCCAUUCCUUGUUCUGGCUAACUGGUCCCCUAGGAAUUUUUCUACUAAUUUUCACUUCCCCUUCUCACCUGGUGAAAUCUUAAACCUUACUGUUCAAUACAAGUUCUACCAAAA
Molecule: long non-coding RNA, 1445 nt
Filed under: Pongo abelii (Sumatran orangutan)
Lineage: Eukaryota; Metazoa; Chordata; Mammalia; Primates; Hominidae
Description: lincRNA
Source: RNAcentral